Diceros bicornis minor is the source of this 317-nucleotide long non-coding RNA. RefSeq lists it as uncharacterized. The record is from RefSeq and is a predicted model, not a curated record. The transcript is spliced from 3 exons. Lineage: Eukaryota; Metazoa; Chordata; Mammalia; Perissodactyla; Rhinocerotidae.
AAAAAGGAAGAAGACCAGAAAAAUAAAAAGGAAAAUAAAAGGAAGAGAAAAGAAUUAAAAGAUAUUAUAUGGAGUGAUUUUAUUCAAAUGAGUACAUAAUCUCCCAGAUGAGGAUGAAUGCCACUGACUGACCACCCCAAAAUUAUUGGACCUAUCCAAUUGGAAGCUACCUUCGUACCCCUCAACCUGGUUUGGCUCCAAGUAAGGGAAAGUCAAACUUCACACAUGAAGAGGAAGAAUGCACGGAAAACUUGAUCCUGUCUCACGUUUAGAUACUUGAUGCUACAGGAAUCUGAGAAGAAAAAUGGAGAGACGUU